Molecule: ribosomal RNA, 254 nt
Filed under: uncultured bacterium
Lineage: Bacteria
Description: partial 16S ribosomal RNA
Rfam family: Bacterial small subunit ribosomal RNA
Source: RNAcentral
GACGUAGGGCGCGAGCGUUGUCCGGAUUUAUUGGGCGUAAAGAGCUCGUAGGUGGCUUGUCGCGUCGACUGUGAAAACCCGUGGCUCAACCAUGUGGUCUGCAGUCGAUACGGGCAGGCUAGAAUUCGGUAGGGGAGACUGGAACUCCUGGUGUAGCGGUGAAAUGCGCAGAUAUCAUGAGGAACACCGGUGGCGAAGGCGGGUCUCUGGGCCGAUAUUGACGCUGAGGAGCGAAAGCGUGGGGAGCGAACAGG